GCAGUCGAGCGGUAACAGAGAUAGCUUGCUAUCUGCUGACGAGCGGCGGACGGGUGAGUAAUGCUUGGGAAUAUGCCAUAUGGUGGGGGACAGCAGUUGGAAACGACUGCUAAUACCGCAUAACGUCUACGGACCAAAGAGGGGGACCUUCGGGCCUCUUGCCAUUUGAUUAGCCCAAGUGAGAUUAGCUAGUUGGUGAGGUAAUGGCUCACCAAGGCGACGAUCUCUAGCUGGUUUGAGAGGAUGAUCAGCCACACUGGGACUGAGACACGGCCCAGACUCCUACGGGAGGCAGCAGUGGGGAAUAUUGCACAAUGGGCGAAAGCCUGAUGCAGCCAUGCCGCGUGUGUGAAGAAGGCCUUCGGGUUGUAAAGCACUUUCAGUUGUGAGGAAAGGGGUGUAGUUAAUAGCUGCAUCCUGUGACGUUAACAACAGAAGAAGCACCGGCUAACUCCGUGCCAGCAGCCGCGGUAAUACGGAGGGUGCGAGCGUUAAUCGGAAUUACUGGGCGUAAAGCGUGCGUAGGCGGUUUG
Molecule: ribosomal RNA, 533 nt
Filed under: uncultured bacterium
Lineage: Bacteria
Description: bacterial SSU rRNA
Rfam family: Bacterial small subunit ribosomal RNA
Source: RNAcentral